Peromyscus leucopus (white-footed mouse) is the source of this 901-nucleotide long non-coding RNA. RefSeq lists it as uncharacterized. NCBI's taxonomy places the organism in Eukaryota, Metazoa, Chordata, Mammalia, Rodentia, Cricetidae. The transcript is spliced from 2 exons. The record is from RefSeq and is a predicted model, not a curated record.
GGACGGGGCGUGGCGCCGGCGCGCAGCCCGGGUCCCGCGCGCAGGCAGCGCCGCCGCGAAGCCGGCCCGGGUCGCCAGCCGCUCCUCCGCCACCCCGGAGCCCCACGCCAGGCCGCGCCCCUCCGCGGGACCGAGGCCGCGCGGCUAGAGCGGCCCCACCGCCGCCAUCGCGGACAAGGGCGGGGAGGUAGGCGUCACCUCGAGAGCCAGUUCUGGCCGACGCGCCUCCGAUUCGCGUGGCCGCUGGACUUUGAGUCUCCCAGGACAGGUGUUUUAAGUUCACGGUUGGAGGUGGUGCAAGCCAAGCUCAGGAGUGGCUCCAGACGUUUUCAAAAUUCCUGCCAGGAGCCAAGAUGUCGGCCUCAGGGCCUGGAGACAAUCUAGCCCCUCGCCCCUCUAUGGUAAAUAAGCGCUCGGCCGCCCCGCCCCCCGCCCCGCCACGCUUGCGCGUGCGCAAGCUGGGAUUUAUUUUGAAAGUGGCCGGCGGAGCUGUUUCGCGCUUGUGGCCGACAAUACUACUAAGACGCUCCAGAGCCUUGCCGUGGAGGCCGUCCCCAGGCCCCGUCCUGUGUCUGCAGGCCCGACAGAAAUGAAGCCGUUCUAAAGGAGACGUUCAGACUUUGGAGAGACGGACCCCGGAGAAAUGGAGAUUUUCCUGGGAACGUCAUGCUGGGAGAAGGAAGAAGCACCAGCAAGAGCGGAGCUUGUCUCCCACAGAGAUUUCACACAGCUCCCACGACCUGUCAGAGUACCUCACCCCUCGGGGUGGGGGCAAAUCCUUGCCUCCUCUUUGCAUUUUAACCUCACUUCUGCAUCCGGGAGACAGACUUGUGGGGUUCACUGGAUUCCCUUGCCCCUCUGCCCGAUGUGGCCACAUUGAGUACCACUCUGUUUUCCGCUU